UACAGAGGGGGCAAGCGUUAUUCGGAAUUAUUGGGCGUAAAGGGCGCGUAGGCGGCGAUUCAAGUGACGGGUGAAAUCCCUCGGCUUAACCGAGGAACUGCCUGUCAGACUGGAUUGCUUGAGGCCGGGAGAGGCGCGUGGAAUUCCCAGUGUAGCGGUGAAAUGCGUAGAUAUUGGGAGGAACACCAGUGGCGAAGGCGGCUCGCUGGACCGGUUCUGACGCUGAGGCGCGAAAGCGUGGGGAGCAAACAGG
Molecule: ribosomal RNA, 253 nt
Filed under: uncultured bacterium
Lineage: Bacteria
Description: partial 16S ribosomal RNA
Rfam family: Bacterial small subunit ribosomal RNA
Source: RNAcentral